AUGGAAAUAAACCCAUUAAGUAUAAUUCUUGUAAAAAGCGAUAGUAAAGGCGACAGACUUUUGUUCCGAUAUCCGCAUACAACAAAACACACACGAGAUUCUAAUCAAUAUACUAAAAAGAGAAAUCCAUAUUCACUCACUAUUACAGAAGAUCUAUUACAGUCUUUACCUUUUCCAACUUCUAAUAUAAGCAAUGGAAACUUAACCGGAGUAAAUGAUGAAGUAUUAUCAACUUUAUUCGCUGUUAAACCAGAAUUAUGCGAACAAAAGUUUGAGCUAAAAGUAAAUGAUGUACGUUUUGUUGGGCAUCCAACUUUAGUUCCAUCUCAUGGAUUAAAAGAAGUUAAUUCUUCUAUGCUUUUCAAUAUAGUCUUUGCCCUUCAAGCUCAAGCAAGUCAUUCUAUUGUAAAAUGUUAUUAUGAUUUAAGCACAAGACUUGGAAUAGCUUUAAGGCACGAAGAAAGGAGGUGUGGAUUUUUAACAGAAGAAAUUAAAAUUAUGGUUUCUACUCAUGAUGAAAUUGCUACUAGAUCAGAAGGUGAAAGCGAUUGUGACGAAUCACCGUACGAAUUAAUAUUACAAAGAAGUUCACUUGCACGUGAUUUAAAGUCCGUAUUUAGUAGUCUUAGUACUUCUGGUAUAAUUAAUAUUAUGAUCAACAAAUGGAUUCAAGUGCGUUUCUGUCUCCCACAAAAAGUUCAUCAAUCCCAUGAAAAGGGAUUCGUCAUUAAUCCAGAAAUAAUAGACAGAUGUUUAAAUAGUUUAAGACCUUAUCAUGGUUUAUUGUUGCUUAUCGAACCGUCAGAUUUAUUGGAUUCGCUUCCAAUAGAUUCUUCACCGGCUCUUAAACGUUUAAUUCAAAUGUACAGUCCUUUGAAAAAUUUACAAACAUUGGCUGCUGAUUCUGAUUUGACGCUUACACAAGUUUUUCAAUUAACUGGUCAUUUAGUAUAUUGGGCCAAAGCUACCAUAAUUUAUCCCCUUUGUGAAAGUAACGUCUACGUUGUUUCUCCAGAUGCUAUUAUUACCAAUCAGUUGUUAGAAAUAUUUUCCGAAGAAUUUCCAGGAUUCUGCCUUUUACAAGUUCUUAGUGAUUUUUCAUUACCGACAUCCAUAAGUCAAAAAUUAAAUCCUUUGAAUCAAUUACAACAACAAACGCAAUUAGUGAAAAUAAUAAUAUGGUUGUUAAAGAAUCAUUUACUGUUACAAUUACACACGUAUGUACAAUAUAUGCCAAUGGUGCAUGGGAGGGUGUUGGAUACAAAGGAUGAAAUGAAUCAUAAUGUAAACGAGAUUAUACAUAGCAGUAACAAUGCAUGGAAUUUAAGUGAAAUUUCGAAAGGGAACACCGUAGAUAUGGCAGAGGAAUUAACAAUGUCUUUCCGUAAAGAAAACGAAAUGUACAAUUAUCAGUCAGAAGAUUAUGAUAUUCCUUCCGAUGACAGAAAGUUGCUGGACAGACUCUGUCGUCUCGGUUAUUUUAAUGGAAACCGCCAUUUAGAAGAGAUCAUGUAUUUAGAAAAUAUUCGUAGGUCACAAUUAUUGCAAAUUUUAGAUAAAUUUCGAGAUGUAUUGAUUACAUGUGAAUGCGAAGAUCCUGCUAUAGCUCUUUUAUAUAGUCAGUUUAGUUCUUAAUUUACCUGUGUAAUUAUUACUAAUUAGAGAAGCUAUAAACAUAUAAUAAUUAACACUGUUGUAAAAGGUUACAAUUUUAACAAUUACACGGCUUUCACCUAUUUCUCAUUGCGAGCGUUGAAAAUUUUACCAACAGUUGAUUUUUUACUCAACUAAGAACAAAGAAAGGUAAAACAGACCAGAAAUUUAGUUCCUCGUGUUUUCUGUAGAGCGCAGUUCAUUCGUUUAGUAUGCUUGGCAGCGCAAUCAUUCGCAGCUCGUGUAUGUAUUUAUGUGGUUCAAUUGUGGAUUAGACCCCUGUGGUUCGGGGGGAUUAGAAUACGGCCACGGUAUCCCCUGCCUGUCGUAAGAGGCGACUAAAAGGGGACACACACACACCCAGACUGAAGCAAAAAAUUGUAAAAGUAUGGCAAAAAACAGAAGCAAAAGUAUGGCAAGUGUAUGAAACAAUGUAAAAUGCAAAAGGGAAUGAGAUUUGAAAAAAGGCGUGCAAAGCGCGUGUGGUCGGAAAUGUUCGUUGGGCAAAAAGGGACAGUAAAAGUCUCCAAAGUACGCCGCCCGGAGGAAACGGGAUGUAAAAAUGCAUCCUUUUUUGCCGAAGUAAAUUGUGGAUUAGGUAUGAAAAAUACAAGAAACAGAAGACAAAGUUGAAGAGAAAACCGGAGUCAUGACGUCUGACAUCAUUUUCAUAUUGUCUUCAGAAAUGCUUUCAAAGCAAUUAGAAGUUUCUACCGAUGCCUGUGAUUGGUCCUUCCAUUAUGGCGUCCUCCCAUUUCGACCAAUCAGAUUCAUCGUUAAAGGGUGCGUUGCGGGGAGUGCGGUGGAGUGCAACAGUCCUCUUCGAAGCUUCGUCCGUUUGGCACGUGUCUGCAACAGGGAGGGAAUCAUCGACCUUCGUCGGCGCGGAUCGAGGAGCCUAGCCGGAGCGACGAGUGGUUCGCGACCUUAGACAAUGCGACCUGAACACGAAACAUCCGCGAACCGUGACCACUUCUGCCAGCGAAACCGAGGGCAACAAAGAAGGGAGUGGUUUUUCUGUCCAGCCUCCCGAGGCAUUUUACGAUUGCCCGUGGCGUACGAGCUUACGCCGUUGGAUUUGCGCAGAAGGAUCGGUAAAAUAACAUGGACUAAGAGAAGGACGGGCUAGAGUAGUGCGAAGUGAGAUUACAUGGAGGAGAGAGGAUGAGAGACCCAACUUGAACACACCAAAAUGGCGGAGGCCCAGAGGGUUGGAGGUGGCACGUGUUUGACAGCCUAACCCAGUGGCGUAAUAAUGAAUUUAUACCGAUCCUACUCGGAAUUUACAACCCUUAGGAAACACGAUUCCUACGAUAAAAAAGAUGUUCAGACUUAAAUGUCAAAGUAUCGUUUCAUCGGUAUUUCUUUAACGAGCACCGUAAUCUUUAUAAAAUAGGAGAAAUAUAAAAUAACAGAGAAUAAUAAGUUAAAUUAUCAUUCGAACAUAAAAUUAAUUGGAUCGAGUUAAUCCAACUAAGGAACACGCAUUCCAUUUUGACGCGAAGCUUAACGGAAAAAUUCUUAUCUUCGGUUUCUAAACCCUACGCCUUUGAGGUCCGACCACCUCCGCGUGCCACCCCAACUACACCCCUAAUGACGUCAUAGGACAGUGGCGCCAACAACCCUGCACUGACGUCAGCUCCGAGCAGCGGCCAACCGAGUUACCUUUGCACCAUAAAUUCUCAACUUUUCCUCUUUCGUUGAUACGCGAUAAAGGGAGAAAAAAAUGUAGAUAGAAAGAGAGAGAGAAAACAGAAGAAGAAAAGAAUAUUUUUACGAUAUUCGUAAAAAUACUUUUACGAUAAGGUGUUUGCCAAAAUUGAAACCGUGCUUCACAGCAGACUUGGACGCUUAUAAACUAACGUUUCAGAUAUUAUUUUAAACGAUAUUCGUUAAUCUAUCGGGGGUGUUUGAAGAAUUCGUGACGAUCGUUACGGUAAACAGCCCGCAUACCGGGUUUAUUGAGUCGGCGUGAAACAGCAGGUUCGUCAUUGAUUCGCUAUGACGACGGCAAUGACGAUUUCGUUCGUCAUUCGUUACCUGAGUUUUCAUUGCAAUUACCUUACCUUUCUGCUCUCCGAUUGGUUAAAAGUCGGUUUAUUUUUGAACUUGCACGCUCGCGAUCGUAUCGCUACCGUUCAUCGCAUUAACCUUCUCUCGCAAUCACGAAUUUCUUCAAUGUAUGUUAUUUUUUGACAAAUCGCUUAUUUAUUAUUAACUCGGUAGCUUUUUAGAAAACAGCUAACAACCCCUUCUGGCGUAGUGAUAGGAAUUUCGAUGAAUUAAAAGCAAAAGAUUCGGGCGUAGAACGAUGUUACAGAUAAAAUAAGAAGAAAACAAAAUACCGUAGACGGUAUUGGCAUGGGGGAUCGAUUUCGGAUAAAGCGAUAACUUUACCGCGAAACACGUUCGAAAUUUCGCGUCACGAGGACAUGAAUUAACGGACGUUGUUAAAUUUAAUCGCGGCUUCUCGUUCAAUAUUGUACCUUGUUUAAGAAUAGCUUCGUUCAAGCUGCUCAAUUUAAUCCUAUUCAAGAUCCCGCUACAUCGUUUCCAUUCUCCUUCUUCUUUUUUUCUCCCCCUUGGAAUUUACCGUUUCAAUUCGGAUAACAGACGUUGAAUGAAGUCGAGAAACGAUGACGCUCGAGCGUAAUUCGAUGUUACUAGCCUGGUACACGUGCGAGUGUAACUAUUCGAGAGCACCGAAACAAUAAGUAGGGAUCGUUUGCGAAAUUUAGACGCAACUCUGUUCUAAUUUUACCUCGACCCUUAAUUCUCGUUCGAGCCUGAACGUUUCGACGUAUCCAUCGUGAAUGGAUUGUCCAUAAAACUGGUAACGGUCCAGGAAUAUUAUCAUUAUAAUUAUUAUUCUUAUUAUCUACCAUGGAACUUUACGUUCGUAAAACAAGCCCUAUUUACUCGUAGCAUCCAUAAAUACCGCUUGAACUUGUAACACCAUUCCCGUUCGCGUGACAAAACGUUCGAGGGAUAAAAAUGUGUAUGUACAUACUUGAUAAUCGAAACAAUCGAUGCUCCUGAAGAUUUCAUAGAAAAGAAAAGAAAAAUCGUGACACGUGUACAGGGUGUAAGAAAAAUUAAUGGUCAUGGCUUCAAUUAAUGGUCUCUUUUCGGCCAGUUUUCAGCAGCCACGCCCUAAGGCCCACUGUGGCUCUCGCGCAGGGCAGGGCGAGUGGUGGGAGAAAAGGGGCGUUGCCUCUGAAACUGGCCGAAAGGAGCGCUCAAUCCCGGGCCAAUCACCACUCGAACGAUGGGCCCUGGCGCAAUGGUCUCCGUACCCCUUCCCUAAACGGACGCUGACAGUAGACCCCGUUCGAAAAGAAUAUUCUUCUUUUUGAAUGCACCUCUAUCGAAAGGAAGUUCGUUAGAGAAGCGAAGCGUUUGUCGUUGACGUAUCUUAAUUGAGAAAUAAUGCGUUCAUCCCACGCUCGCAACAUCCUCGUGCGUAAAGAGACGUGUCGGUAGAGAUUUACAUGGACACGUAGGUGCGUGUGUAAGUAUGCUUACGUUCGCUUUCACGACGAUUCAUUGUCAGUGGUAUACGCGACGUCCUCGCAUACGGACCGGGAACAAACGAACGCGAAUCCCUCUUUUUAUUGUCGCGACUAUGACGUCAAUUCUCUCUAAUCUUGGCGCUCAUUUCCGAAAAUUACGAUACCGCCGCACCGCGCCGUACCGGUAGGCCAACGUACCAGCGACGGACGUUUAGGACGAUCAUCGGUUUCCUGAUUACGAUCCCCCAGGCGUUUUACAAACGAUUUCGCCUUGUCGCUUGUGACUUUUUAUUUUCCGAAAUCAAAUCCAUAUGUACCAUUUAGGUAUGAUCCCCAUCACGAGUCAUUGACGCUACGAUUCUUCUCUGAUCGAUCGGUUAAUGAAUUAAGACAGAAGCGGUCCAUUAAAAUAUAUAAUGUUAAUAUUUAUUGAUAUAUAAGUAUAAACAAAAUAGGCAUUACGUGAAUAAACAAUGCAGGCUACAAACGUAAUCGUACAACGUGAAUUGAAUAUAGGAACAUUGUAACAAGAUGCAUCGUCUAUUAAUUUUUCUUCUCGUAUUGUUUUGAAGAAACGCGACGUCGCUUCACGAAUUCGUGAUUAAAAGACUAGAAUGGAUUUUCCAUUUCCAACGCGAUCGUUAUAAAAUUAUUAAUUCAUCGUACAAUCGUUUUCCUUCUUCAGUUAUAGCUUGUAUUAUUUAUUACAUGCUACGUAAUACUAAAUAAAGCAUUCUCAGUUAUCGAUGAAAUAAAUAUUAAUAUUGGAAACGAUGUGCAACGGAAUAAGUUACACGGAAUAAAUAACAACAACGUAUACAAUGUUCCGAUGAACAUAUACUAAGCAACCUGUUCUCUCCUAAAGAAAAAACUGUCUUUUAUUCUUCAAGCUUGAGUCAGACGCAUCUUUUGGGGAUAGCAUAUUCCCAUAACAGUCGUUUUAACGCGUUCACUGCCUUGUAACGAUAAACGCUUAUUAUUAUCAUCAUUAGCGUAAUAAUUACUUUUGUGGCAAUUAACGCGUUAAGGAUCGUUUCAACGAGGAGUUAACUUUACAAGCAUACCAAUGAAAAUCGAUGUUCAGUCUCGAUCAACAGGUUGCCUCUUAUCGACGACAAAUCUUUUCACAUAAAUACGCGUUAAUGAUUAAACAGAGAUCGCUCGAAGUUGAAGAGAAACAGAUUUAACCCCUUGCCUCGUGAUACCUUUUUAAAUUAUCUGCUUCAAUCAUAGUUCUACCUGUUAAAAAUUUCAAACGGUAAAUAGCUGAUUCUCCAAAGUACAUAAUUGCAAAAAUUCUUGAGACAAGCGAUUAAAGCGAUUCAGAUCGAAUGACGUUCAACCGAGACUCAACGAUAUUUACCUUCCUCUUAUACGCGACUUUACGAGAUACAAUGGCAUUAACAACGAUAAUAAUCGAGGACGCGAUAAUUGUAGCAUAUAACGAUUACAAAAAAAAAAAAAGAAAUGGGAAA
Molecule: non-coding RNA, 6640 nt
Organism: Osmia lignaria (orchard mason bee)
Lineage: Eukaryota; Metazoa; Arthropoda; Insecta; Hymenoptera; Megachilidae
Source: RefSeq, a predicted model, not a curated record